ACACCCUUAAAGACGUCACAUUAAUUUUUGCGUGUUACUUAAUUUUCAAAAAUGCUUUCCAUGAUAGCUAUUGACAAUAAUACUUGGAAUACAGUCACUCUUGUCUCACGCAUGUCGUGAGUGGGGAAGGCUGGACCUCGGGUUCUUCACUGGGGCAACAGUCAUAAGGCCAUGCGUGGGAGCUGAAAGGAUAUGGAAUUGGACCAAGUAAGAAAAAUAAGUUGAGUAACACAUGCAGCAAGCUAAAAUUGUAAUUGUGUUUUGACAAUGACAAACAGUCAAUGAGCAAAGAGCUGUUUCCAUAUAAUAUCCAUAACUACUCUGAUCUUGUGCUCUAGUUUCCAUUUGAGCUGCUGCGCCAAAUGUAGAGAACUCUGCAAAAGAAAAUCAAUUUAAGUCAGUAUGGUGAAAAUACAAAGAAAUACUCUUCAUUAAAAUUCAUUCCACAAUGCACUGGCAUGAAGCCAAAGCCUAUUUAUUUAUUUAUUAAAUUUUUUAUGAUUACACCAGGUAUAGAGUAAUAGUGCUAGAGGAUUUGGGGAAAAAACGUCAAGUUUUUGCAUUCCUAAUGAAAAUAAUGUUUAGCUAAAUGCUUUCACAAGAGCACCACAUAGCUUUCAAAAGAGGCGUCAACAAUGUUAGCUUGAAAAGGCUUGCUAGCUCCAGUUUGUCAAACACCGAAAACCAAAUGAACACCACACAACUAUUUUAUAUCAUAUUUAUGAUACAUAUUUUAACCAGCAUGUUGAUAUCUCAUUAGGACAUGGACUAGGCAAAUUAUGGCUUUCAAAAGAGCGCCACAUAGGUUAGCUUUCAAAAGAGGCGCCGGCAACAAUGCUAGCUAAAAGGACAUGAACAAAGGUGCUUUACGGACUGCCGUUUAUACAUAUUGAACUAGCUCAAUUGUACUAAACAGCUCAUCACCGAGAUCAGCUAGGUAAUGUUAGCUGCUCUUACAUUACAUUUGCACUGGGCUAUUAGCGUUAAAUACUCAAACUAGCAAAUAUGUUAUCUAACAGAACACUAACUCAAAUUAGUCCCAGAAUAGACGUAAGGUCUGAACAUCACCAUUUCACCGGCUAACUUAACAACAUUCAGCUAGAACUGCAAACAUGCAUGCUGAAAGUAGGACUCCAACAUUACAUUGCAAAUACUUCUAACUGAAAAGGUCUGCAAUACAUUCAGUUAAAAAUAUAAAGGCAUAGUGAAACACUUACCUGCUCUUGAACGCCGUCAAACCCAGAUUUUCCCAUGGAGAAUUUGAAACCACAGCGACCUUCUUCCAAGAGGACGUUACUGCUUACAUCACAGCAAUAUGCACAUGUGAUUGGAUAUAACGUCUUCUUCUUCUUGUUUUACAGCAGUUGGUAUCCAGCUUAUUGGUGAAUUACCGCCACCUUCUGCUCCGGAGUGUGGAUCAGACAAUAGAUUUACACUCUAAAUCCCUUCACCCUAAGCUAUAUUUUAUUCUCCAUGCUUUACACCUAGUCCUACUAUAAAAUCCCUAUCCAUGUCAGCCACCCUAGAACCCUAUACCUGCUUAUCCAUCAUAUCCUAUAAAAAAGUAAUAAAAAAAAAAAAAAACCCUGCAUUGGAUAUAACGUGUUAACGGUCCAAGUGUAAACGCAAAUGUUCUGACAACCCACCAGUAACGUUUCAAAUGAAGUAAGGAUGAGGACUGUGAUAUAACGUAAUUGUUAGGUUAUUAAAUUACAUCGUAUUUACGUAAUUCUGUAACGUUACGGCAACGUUGCAGAACAGUCUCCAUGAGGACUGGUUAUUUUGCGACCAUAGAGCAAUGUUGUCACAACAUCACCUGUUGGUAAUGUUGCGACUUACCAAAUUAUGACCAAAGUGCAACGUUGGUAUUACGUAGUGUAUUUCUCGGGAAACAGACUUAGCUAAACAAUGGUUUCAGUAUCAUUGGUGGCUUGCAUUAUUUGUAAAUAUGUGGCGGGAUAGACCAUUCCUUUAUUAGGGGUCCUACGAAGUAGGAACCCUAUUGUUUUUUUUUUGUAUUAUUAGGGGCCAAGCACCGAAGGUGCAGGGCACCUAUUGUAAUCGUUAGUAUUAUUAUACUUUCCGCAAUGGGAGUCUAUGGCAGCCCAUAGAACCCAUUGGUGGUUUUUUAUGAAAUUUGGCAAAUUGAUAAAGGACAGUCCAACGUAUCCAGGCAUCGCAUUUGGGGUCAAUCCAUCAAUCUUUGUAGCGCCACCAGCAGGCCAAACUUGAAGGCACAUUAUUUGUGGGGAUUGUUUCCCCUGAAUCCUUGGGUCAUGCCGAUUCCAAUGCACCCAUUAGGGUUAAAACAUGUCAUAAUGGAUUUUCUGCCAUUUUGAAUUUUACGAAAAACCUACUUUUGCAAACUAGUCCUAGGGCGUUGAUCCAAUCACCACCAAAUUCAGUUCGUAUGAUCUACAGAUGGUGCUGACCAAAAGUUAUUCACAGAAUUUUGCUAAAGUUAUUUACAUGGCCACAAUGAGUCAAUGAAUAUUGAGGAGGGCGUGGCUUGAAACAUGAAGGUAUGUAAAUUCUGAACGGUUUCACCUAACACCAUGAAACUUGGUAGGCACAUCAGCAGACAUAAGUGGAGUCUAACCCUCCAUUUUCGGCCUGAUCAAGCAAAGUGGUGGCGCUAGA
Anguilla rostrata (American eel) is the source of this 2640-nucleotide long non-coding RNA. RefSeq lists it as uncharacterized. The transcript has 2 exons. Lineage: Eukaryota; Metazoa; Chordata; Actinopteri; Anguilliformes; Anguillidae. The record is from RefSeq and is a predicted model, not a curated record.